This 119-nucleotide ribosomal RNA is filed under the name Xenopus laevis (African clawed frog). Lineage: Eukaryota; Metazoa; Chordata; Amphibia; Anura; Pipidae. The record is from RNAcentral.
ACCUACGGCCACACCACCCUGAAAGUGCCCGAUCUCGUCUAAUCUCAGAAGCGAUCCAGGUCCAGGCCUAGUUAGUACCUGGAUGGGAAUCCAGCUGGGAAUACCAGGUGUUGUGGGCU